Molecule: ribosomal RNA, 517 nt
Filed under: uncultured Staphylococcus sp.
Lineage: Bacteria; Bacillati; Bacillota; Bacilli; Caryophanales; Staphylococcaceae
Description: bacterial SSU rRNA
Rfam family: Bacterial small subunit ribosomal RNA
Source: RNAcentral
AGAGUUUGAUCCUGGCUCAGGAUGAACGCUGGCGGCGUGCCUAAUACAUGCAAGUCGAGCGAACAGAUAAGGAGCUUGCUCCUUUGACGUUAGCGGCGGACGGGUGAGUAACACGUGGGUAACCUACCUAUAAGACUGGAAUAACUCCGGGAAACCGGGGCUAAUGCCGGAUAAUAUUUAGAACCGCAUGGUUCUAAAGUGAAAGAUGGUUUUACUAUCACUUAUAGAUGGACCCGCGCCGUAUUAGCUAGUUGGUGGGGUAAUGGCUUACCAAGGCAACGAUACGUAGCCGACCUGAGAGGGUGAUCGGCCACACUGGAACUGAGACACGGUCCAGACUCCUACGGGAGGCAGCAGUAGGGAAUCUUCCGCAAUGGGCGAAGGCCUGACGGAGCAACGCCGCGUGAGUGAUGAAGGUCUUCGGAUCGUAAAACUCUGUUAUUAGGGAAGAACAAAUGUGUAAGUAACUGUGCACGUCUUGACGGUACCUAAUCAGAAAGCCACGGCUAACUACGUG